AAGAGAGACUAUAAAGGUUACUCAUUUGGGGCUAUCUUCCUCUUGACACGCAACGGCUCAGCGCUUGCGGCCGCGAAGCUACGACGACGAGCGCCGGCAACUCCGGCGCCGACCAUGGCGGCGCGCCUCCUCCGCCACCUCAAUCCUAGCACCAGCUUGUUAAUGAAAGAAAAGUCAUGUGGGAUAUCUGUAUUUGGUGUCCUUGGUCGCUGCUUGUCACAAUUCUCGGAGGAUGAAAAAGCGGGGAAUGCUAAGUUGAGCUCAGGGAAUGACAAUUCCUCAACUGUUGGGAAACAUUAUGAUUCAGAACUUUGUAAGGAUAGCUCUGAUGAUGAGGAUUUUAGCAGAAAAAAGUGGAAGUUGGAACUUGCUUGGCUCUCUAAAGCUCUAGAACCGGCACUUCAAGUGUAUAAAUGGGCUUUAACUAAAGGAAGUGCUGAACAAGAGAUGAUACCUCCCAGCAGUAGAUCACUAGCUGAUAUUCUUUCUAAUCUUCAAUUGAGUAAGGCAGGCAUCCUGGAUUGGAGCCUUAGUGACCUUACAAUUGGUUUGUAUCUUAUUUACCUCAGCCAAGCGUCUGCAGUUAAGGUUGAUGACUUUAAAGGUGUGCAGAUCCUCACAGAUCAUGUGGUUCAAGAUCUAAUUUAUCAUGUUGAAUUGGCAAAGGGGUCUUAUAAAGAUAAUGCAACUGGUCUGGCUAGACGUAGUAUGCUUCUAGAAAGAAACAUCUUGAAAUUUGUCAGGAAUUCCAGUGUUUUAAGGCCUGGAUAUUACAUAGGGAUCGACACCCGUAAUAAGUUGGUCAUUCUUGGAAUUCGUGGAACCGAUACUGUCUAUGACCUUAUCACCGAUGUGGUUACUUUGAGUGACCAAGAAGUAUCUUUUGAGGGCUUCUCAACCCACUUUGGAACCACUGAGGCUGCCCGUUGGUUUCUUCGCCAUGAGCUAGGGACUAUCAGGAAGUGCUUGGAGAAACAUAAAAACUUCAAGUUGAGGUUAGUUGGGCAUUCCCUAGGAGGUGCGGCAGCUGCCUUGCUGGCCAUAAUGCUUCGAAAGAAGUCUGCUGAGGAGUUGGGUUUUGAUCCUGAAAUUGUCUCUGCAGUUGGGUUUGGAACACCACCUUGUGUGUCAGAAGAUCUUGCUGGAAGCUGUUCCAGCUAUGUCUCCACCGUUAUAUUGCAGGAUGAUAUAAUUCCUCGGUUAAGCACUGCUUCCCUAGCAAAACUUCGGAAUGAAAUUCUUGAAACUGAUUGGAUGAGUGUUUUGGAGAAGGACGAUUGGAAGAGAAUUGUAGAUUUAGUUACAAAUGCUAAGCAAGUUGUGUCUUCGGUUCAAGAAGUUGCUCGCAAGCUUGCUGAUUAUGCCGCAAACAUAUCAAAUGCCUCAGGGGGCUUGUCUGCUAAAGGGAAGGUAUAUUCAUUGAAUAAAGCACUGCUAGAGAGGUAUAUCCGUUGUGUAGGAAUGUGCAAGCAUUUGUUCUCCUUUUAUUGAGGAGGAUACUCUCGGCAUCCAUAAGGAAUAAUGCGGGAUUCAAGUUUAUAUUUGAUGUGAGGACAAAGCUCAGGAAAACACAAACAUCCAUACACCUUAAGAUCUGUAUGGGAUGGGCGAUGUUUGAAUAGUAAGUCCAAGGGUGAAGAGGUCGUAUUGCUUAGACUAGGAACACAGUUAGUUUGGUAGAUUGCAAUACGAAAGGAUGUAUUCAAAUACUUGGUGGGCGUUGAGCUGUAGGUAAGAAGUGAUAGGCUGAUUUCAACAAUGUGCUUAUUCUUUAUCUCAACCAUAUCAUUUUGCUGUGAGCUGUAGCAACAAGAGAUAUGAUGUGCAAUUCCCUGAUAAGCUGGAAAAUAUUUAAAUUGAGUUCUUAAAAGGUGAAGGCCACCAAAUUUUGAUGAAUGUGGAGAAUAGAUUUUCAACCUCAAGCUUAAAAUUUUGGCAAAUUUUGAAAAAAGAACUCAAUUUGAUUGCAUAAAAUAAAUCUAUGUGAAAUACACUAAGCAUCGACAUAUACAACAGGGGCAGUUUCCCAUUUGUCAAUAGAAAUGGUUUUAAGAGAGAAAUCCACCUUUAGUGAAUUAUACGAGAAUGAGAAAGAUUUUAUCUUUCCAUGUUGACAUGAAGAGCAAACAUAAUCAAUCAGAUUUAUUUUAGGGGUAGAAAUGAAGCUAGUGGUCAAGCCAAGUAGAAAAGGAUCACAUAUGAGUUGGUGCCAAACAGCAAUUGAAUCCUUUUGAGGAAGAACACGUUUUGGAGAGGGGUGAUGAGAAUUUAAUGCAUGGUUGUUGAAUUGUGUUUGUAAACAUUGUUUAGAAGUUUAAUUUUGAGUUAGAGUAAAUAUAAAAUCUUGCCUUUAGUUUUUGGCUGUGACAACUUGGAUACAAAUUACUCAACAAUACACAAUUCACAACUUUAAAUUGCCAAUAGAUAUAGCAAGGUUGCAAAGCCCAAAAAGAAGAGAUAUACUCUAUACAUUUACUCAAACAUAACACUAAAAUCAGUAUUUUGGGAUUAACAAAACAUACAUUUAUCACACACCUAGACAUUGUCAAGUAAUGUUGUGUGCUCUUGUCCAUGUUUAAUAUUUCAAUUUGGUCAUGUCACCAUCUUUUUUUUUUGAGGAAGAAGAGCAGGGCGAACCCACUAGAGACCCCAGGGGCGUGCACAAGCCUCGAUGACUCGAGAAGAAACAAGUCUGUUCAUCCAUCAAAACCAAUUGCAGGGUCCAAUAACAUCGUAAAACAAGACGGAGCCAUGCCAGUGGAGCUCUUCACUCCUGGGAU
This is an RNA transcript of Dioscorea cayenensis subsp. rotundata (Guinea yam), 2780 nucleotides long. RefSeq lists it as uncharacterized. NCBI's taxonomy places the organism in Eukaryota, Viridiplantae, Streptophyta, Magnoliopsida, Dioscoreales, Dioscoreaceae. The record is from RefSeq and is a predicted model, not a curated record. The transcript is spliced from 9 exons.